This 500-nucleotide ribosomal RNA is filed under the name uncultured bacterium. RNAcentral's name for it is "partial 16S ribosomal RNA". It matches the Rfam family "Bacterial small subunit ribosomal RNA", at positions 30 to 523 of the family's 1533-position model. The record is from RNAcentral.
AUUGAACGCUGGCGGCAGGCCUAACACAUGCAAGUCGAGCGGAUGACGGGAGCUUGCUCCUUGAUUCAGCGGCGGACGGGUGAGUAAUGCCUAGGAAUCUGCCUGGUAGUGGGGGACAACGUUUCGAAAGGAACGCUAAUACCGCAUACGUCCUACGGGAGAAAGCAGGGGACCUUCGGGCCUUGCGCUAUCAGAUGAGCCUAGGUCGGAUUAGCUAGUAGGUGAGGUAAUGGCUCACCUAGGCGACGAUCCGUAACUGGUCUGAGAGGAUGAUCAGUCACACUGGAACUGAGACACGGUCCAGACUCCUACGGGAGGCAGCAGUGGGGAAUAUUGGACAAUGGGCGAAAGCCUGAUCCAGCCAUGCCGCGUGUGUGAAGAAGGUCUUCGGAUUGUAAAGCACUUUAAGUUGGGAGGAAGGGCAGUAAGUUAAUACCUUGCUGUUUUGACGUUACCGACAGAAUAAGCACCGGCUAACUCUGUGCCAGCCGCCGCCGUAA